AUACUGCUGACGAGUCCCAAACAGGACGAA
RNAcentral lists this non-coding RNA (30 nucleotides) under Echinostoma caproni. Lineage: Eukaryota; Metazoa; Platyhelminthes; Trematoda; Plagiorchiida; Echinostomatidae. The record is from RNAcentral.